Molecule: ribosomal RNA, 441 nt
Filed under: uncultured bacterium
Lineage: Bacteria
Description: partial 16S ribosomal RNA
Rfam family: Bacterial small subunit ribosomal RNA
Source: RNAcentral
CCUACGGGAGGCAGCAGUGGGGGAUAUUGCACAAUGGGGGGAACCCUGAUGCAGCGACGCCGCGUGGGUGAAGGAGCGUUUCGGCGCGUAAAGCCCUAUCGGCAGGGAAGAAGAAGGACGGUACCUGACUAAGAAGCCCCGGCUAACUACGUGCCAGCAGCCGCGGUAAUACGUAGGGGGCAAGCGUUGUCCGGAGUUAAUGGGUGUAAAGGGGGCGCAGACGGCAGCGCUAGCCAGGAGUGAAAGCCCGGGGCGCAACCCCGGGACUGCUCUUGGAACUGCGCGGUUGGAGUGCAGGAGGGGCAGGAGGAAGUCCGGGGGUAGCGGUGAAAUGCGUAGAUAUCAGGAGGAACACCGGUGGCGAAGGCGGCCUGCUGGACUGCGACUGACGUUGAGGCCCGAAAGCGUGGGGAGCAAACAGGAUUAGAUACCCGAGUAGUC